AUUGAACGCUGGCGGCAGGCCUAACACAUGCAAGUCGAGCGGAUGAAGGGAGCUUGCUCCUGGAUUCAGCGGCGGACGGGUGAGUAAUGCCUAGGAAUCUGCCUGGUAGUGGGGGAUAACGUCCGGAAACGGGCGCUAAUACCGCAUACGUCCUGAGGGAGAAAGUGGGGGAUCUUCGGACCUCACGCUAUCAGAUGAGCCUAGGUCGGAUUAGCUAGUUGGUGGGGUAAAGGCCUACCAAGGCGACGAUCCGUAACUGGUCUGAGAGGAUGAUCAGUCACACUGGAACUGAGACACGGUCCAGACUCCUACGGGAGGCAGCAGUGGGGAAUAUUGGACAAUGGGCGAAAGCCUGAUCCAGCCAUGCCGCGUGUGUGAAGAAGGUCUUCGGAUUGUAAAGCACUUUAAGUUGGGAGGUAGGGCAGUAAGUUAAUACCUUGCUGUUUUGACGUUACCAACAGAAUAAGCACCGGCUAACUUCGUG
This 484-nucleotide ribosomal RNA is filed under the name uncultured bacterium. RNAcentral describes it as "partial 16S ribosomal RNA". It matches the Rfam family "Bacterial small subunit ribosomal RNA", at positions 30 to 507 of the family's 1533-position model. The record is from RNAcentral.